GUAGACUCUUCCUGGAGAACAAUCCAGAAUAAGACCGCAAGCUGUUGAAUGUUGCAUCCUGGUAUCAUUAAGCAGCCAAAUGCCUUCAGUGUCAGACAGUGGAGGAGGGGGAGUUAGCUGACCUUGGGUGAGACAAGUAGGUUCCUGGAGAAGAAAGAUGUGGCGUCACCUGCUCGACUCACCAUGGCGGGACAUGUUCACUGAGCAGAUAUUUGCCUUCACUUGAAAAGCUCUUCCUCUGGCGGAGUGGACAGCUUGGUGAUAACGUGUUUUAAUAGAUCGCUUUACACCUCUUUCGUAGGAUUGGAUGGAACAGCCUUUGGGGAUCUUUGCUUUGGACCGAGCUUGAUUCAGUGACUUGAUGCCGUUUUUUGAGUUUCCUGUAAAAGGUGUCAUCUGUGGGAUAUUACAUGAUUACCUUGGAUCUGGUACAUCAAUAACAUUGGCUCGGAUAUUUCUCGGAGUUGAGCUCAAGCGGUUCCAGUUUCGGCUCUUAAGAGUUUAGAUUCUCUCCAAG
Gasterosteus aculeatus aculeatus (three-spined stickleback) is the source of this 517-nucleotide long non-coding RNA. The record is from Ensembl. NCBI's taxonomy places the organism in Eukaryota, Metazoa, Chordata, Actinopteri, Perciformes, Gasterosteidae.